AGUGGAGCAAUCCAUGAGUACAGUGGCGACCGGGUGAGUAACACGUGAUCAACCUACCCUCGAGUGGGGGAUAACUCCGGGAAACCGGAGCUAAUACCGCAUAACAUCUUCGGUCCACAUGAACUGAUGAUCAAAGGAGCAAUUCGCUUGAGGAGGGGGUCGCGGCUGAUUAGCUAGUUGGUAGGGUAAUGGCCUACCAAGGCUUAGAUCGGUAUCCGGCCUGAGAGGGCGCACGGACACACUGGAACUGAAACACGGUCCAGACUCCUACGGGAGGCAGCAGUGGGGAAUUUUGCGCAAUGGGGGAAACCCUGACGCAGCAACGCCGCGUGGAGGAUGAAGUCCCUUGGGACGUAAACUCCUUUCGACCGGGAAGAUACUGACGGUACCGGAUGAAGAAGCACCGGCUAACUCUGUGCCAGCAGCCGCGGUAAUACAGAGGGUGCGAGCGUUGUUCGGAAUUAUUGGGCGUAAAGGGCGCGUAGGCGGCGCGGUAAGUCACCUGUGAAAUCUCCUGGCUCAACUGGGAGCUUGCAGGCGAAACUGCCGU
RNAcentral lists this ribosomal RNA (550 nucleotides) under uncultured bacterium. Its description in RNAcentral is "bacterial SSU rRNA". It matches the Rfam family "Bacterial small subunit ribosomal RNA", at positions 73 to 639 of the family's 1533-position model. The record is from RNAcentral.